CAUCAGCGCACUGGAUCUCGAUGCUACAUUGCACAGGCCCAUGUUGUGGAUGAUAUGGAAGGCAUUAUGAGUGAACCAGUACAAGAUGGACAGGAACCAAAGUCAGCAAAAGAAGUUGUUUCUCAGGUUGUCAAAUCAACUACUUUUCUUCGUGUUGCAGGUGUUUGUUCAGCCUCCAAGAGUACCUCUAGAGGUGCAAUAUCAUCACAGGUCCACGAUCUUCAGGUUGAGCUUGAGAAUGAGAAGCAAGAAAAAGGAGAACUUCGACAAGAGUUGGAUAAUUUGAAGAUGGAAUCAGAAACUUCAAGGGUAAAACAUUCUGAGGAAAUAGAGGGUUUAAAGAAGACAUCACAAGAAAUGCAUGGUCUCCUUCACCAACUAUUGAGCUUCAACCAGGGUCAACACAAUCCAGGGUCAUAAAGUUACUAAGCCCCCAACAGUGAACUAUUGUAGGAUGUUUCUGUUCUGAAAUUUGGUUUUUAGUUGAACUAUGUCUAGUUUUAUCAAUAGUUGGUUGCUAGUUGUUUACAUGUACAACUAAGUAGGUCCAAGUUUGUUGAUUUUUGUUACUGGUAGCUCCAAGUUGUGUUGAACAUUGUUGCUUCUUAUAAGACGUAUUGUGACCUA
Zea mays is the source of this 627-nucleotide long non-coding RNA. RefSeq lists it as uncharacterized. The record is from RefSeq and is a predicted model, not a curated record. Lineage: Eukaryota; Viridiplantae; Streptophyta; Magnoliopsida; Poales; Poaceae. The transcript is spliced from 3 exons.